Molecule: ribosomal RNA, 465 nt
Filed under: uncultured bacterium
Lineage: Bacteria
Description: partial 16S ribosomal RNA
Rfam family: Bacterial small subunit ribosomal RNA
Source: RNAcentral
GACGAACGCUGGCGGCGUGCUUAACACAUGCAAGUCGAACGGAAAGGCCCCUUCGGGGGUCCUCGAGUGGCGAACGGGUGAGUAACACGUGAGUAACCUGCCCUUGACUUCGGGAUAACUUCAGGAAACUGGGGCUAAUACCGGAUAGGAAUCCUUGCUGCAUGGUGGGGGUUGGAAAGCUUCGGCGGUUUUGGAUGGACUCGCGGCUUAUCAGCUUGUUGGUGGGGUAGUGGCUUACCAAGGCUUUGACGGGUAGCCGGCCUGAGAGGGCGACCGGCCACAUUGGGACUGAGAUACGGCCCAGACUCCUACGGGAGGCAGCAGUGGGGAAUAUUGCACAAGGGGCGGAAGCCUGAUGCAGCAACGCCGCGUGCGGGAUGACGGCCUUCGGGUUGUAAACCGCGUUCAGCAGGGGCGAAGCUUGUGGUGACGGUACCUGCAGAAGAAGCACCGGCUAACUACGUG